AAUAAAGUCUCAGUGUCUACAAAAACUCAUGCAUGGACUGUUGAGUACAAACAUCAAUAGAGACUGUAGUUUGAUCCCAUUGCAUUUCUUACUCCAUCAACUCUGUGAAAUUUUUCAUUUUUGAUUUGGCUAUUGAUUUUUUGUCCCUUUUGGUCUUCAAGUAUACAAGUAGUUAUAAAUACAUCAUUUGGCUUUCUUAAAUUCUAAGUGAUAAAUGUCGAAAUUAUAUAUAUUUAAACUAUGAUUCCAACACCCUCAGACAAAGUUGACCUAAGGUAGAAUUGGCUAUAUUUUUAGAUCCGUUUUGGUCAUUUAGCUCCUUGUGUAUUCAGUAGUACGCGCAUAUAUAUAUAUAUACAUCCUUGGCUUUCACGAGUGUUCCUGAUGAAGGUUAAUCCAGAUAUACAUCCUUGGCUUUCACGAGUGUUCCUGAUGAAGGUAAAUCCAGAUAUACAUCCUUAGCUUUCACGAGUGUUCCUGAUGAAGGUAAAUCCAGAUAUACAUCCUUGGCUUUCACGAGUGUUCCUGGUGAAGGUAACAGAUAUACAUCCUUGGCUUUUACGAGUGUUCCUUGUGAAGGUAAAUCCAGAUAUACAUCCUUGGCUUUCACGAGUGUUCCUGGUGAAGGUAAAUCCAGAUAUACAUCCUUGGUUUUCACAAGUGUUCCUGGUGAAGGUAAAUACAGAUAUACAUUCUUAGCUUUCACGAGUGUUCCUGGUGAAGGUAAAUCCAGAUAUACAUUCUUAGCUUUCACGAGUGUUCCUGAUGAAGGUAAAUCCAGAUAUACAUCCUUAGCUUUCACGAGUGUUCCUGGUGAAGGUAAAUCCAGAUAUACAUCCUUGGCUUUCACGAGUGUUCCUGGUGAAGGUAAAUCCAGAUAUACAUCCUUGGCUUUCACGAGUGUUCCUGGUGAAGGUAAAUCCAGAUAUACAUCCUUGGCUUUCACGAGUGUUCCUGAUGAAGGUAAAUCCAGUUAUACAUCCUUGGCUUUCACGAGUGUUCCUGAUGAAGGUAACAGAUAUACAUCCUUGGCUUUCUCGAGUGUUCCUGGUGAAGGACAUUGUAUAUGCUAAGUUAGUAAACUAACAUGUAUAUCACAGCACAUAUAUAUACACUAGUGUACUUAUUCAUUUAUUUAUUUAAACAACUCCAAACACACAAUAUCUAUGUGCACUUAUGUGUAUAUGAUACAUAGCAGAGUAUAAGCCAACUGGAAAGUGUUGAAAAUUUAGGAAUAACUAAAUUUUAGGUUCAUACUUGCCAACAUCAAUUAUUGAAAUUUUUUUUUAACACCAAUAAGAUAUUUCUUUAUUUCUAUCAAUUGUUUGUUACAUUGUCUUCAACAAGUCCAAGCUCCUUGUGAAGAAAAAAUAUAAUUUACAAUUCUAUUGUAAUAAUAAAUUAUAAAACAUCAAUUAUUGAUUUUACUAUCACAAAUUGAAAAUGGAUAUUAGUAACUGUAAAAUGUAUGGUUAUCAUUGAUGUCAGCAAGUAUUAAAAUAAAUGGCCUUUAUUCCUAUUCUAAUUCUAUCUAAUUCAAUUGCUAAACUUAUUCUGUUAAAAUGUUAAACUAUAAGUAAACUGAAAUGAUUGCAUAUACAUGUAGCAUUCUGAAUGGUAAUGAAUAGAUUUACCCUCUCAAAAUAUAUCGUCAAAUCAAAAGUGUCAGUACAAAUGAAUUGCAUCAUAAUGAAUGUUUUUUCUACUACCAAUAAAACCUUCAUAAAAAAAUUUGAAGGUAUAGGGCAUCUACAAAGCUUUUCUCCUACCAUAAUACUUCAAUAAGAUAUCAGAUAUAAAAAAACAUAUUAUAAAUAUUGAUUAUGAUAACAAAGAAAAAAUUAUUACUGCAAAAAAUCUUUCUCCAAAUGUACCAUUGAUGAGACAA
Molecule: RNA transcript, 1888 nt
Organism: Mytilus californianus (California mussel)
Lineage: Eukaryota; Metazoa; Mollusca; Bivalvia; Mytilida; Mytilidae
Gene name: guanine nucleotide exchange factor subunit RIC1-like
Exons: 4
Source: RefSeq, a predicted model, not a curated record